CCUACGGGGGGCUGCAGUGGGGAAUUUUGGACAAUGGGGGCAACCCUGAUCCAGCCAUGCCGCGUGCGGGAAGAAGGCCUUCGGGUUGUAAACCGCUUUUGUCGGGGAAGAAAUCCUCUGGGCUAAUACCCCGGGGGGAUGACGGUACCCGGAGAAUAAGCACCGGCUAACUACGUGCCAGCAGCCGCGGUUAUACGUAGGGUAAGUGCGUGAAUCGGAGCUACUGGGCGUAAAGCGUGCGCAGGGGGCUGAAAUCCCCGGGCUCAACCUGGGAACUGCAUUUGUGACUGCAUAGCUGGAGUGCGGCAGAGGGGGAUGGAAUUCCGCGUGUAGCAGUGAAAUGCGUAGAUAUGCGGAGGAACACCGAUGGCGAAGGCAAUCCCCUGGGCCUGCACUGACGCUCAUGCACGAAAGCGUGGGGAGCAAACAGGAUUAGAUACCCGUGUAGUC
Molecule: ribosomal RNA, 450 nt
Filed under: uncultured bacterium
Lineage: Bacteria
Description: partial 16S ribosomal RNA
Rfam family: Bacterial small subunit ribosomal RNA
Source: RNAcentral